AUGAAAUUGCUCUUGUAGUGGC
This 22-nucleotide non-coding RNA is filed under the name Arabidopsis thaliana (thale cress). Lineage: Eukaryota; Viridiplantae; Streptophyta; Magnoliopsida; Brassicales; Brassicaceae. The record is from RNAcentral.